This 320-nucleotide ribosomal RNA is filed under the name uncultured eukaryote. RNAcentral's name for it is "partial 18S ribosomal RNA". It matches the Rfam family "Eukaryotic small subunit ribosomal RNA", at positions 1470 to 1796 of the family's 1831-position model. The record is from RNAcentral.
CCCUUAGAUGUUCUGGGCUGCACGCGUGCUACAAUGGCGCUUGCAACAAGUCUUGCCAACCCGAUAGGGUGAGCGGAUCUUUGAAGAGGCGUCGUGAUCGGGACAGUUGAUUGCAAUUAUUCGACUCGAACGAGGAAUUCCUUGUAAUCGCGAUUCAUCAUAUCGCGCUGAAUACGUCCCUGCCCUUUGUACACACCGCCCGUCGCUCCUACCGAUUGAGCGAUCCGGUGAAUGUUUUGGACUGGCGUCAGAAGCGGUUCGCUCCUGACACUACGAAAUUUUGUAAACCUUGUCGCUUAGAGGAAGGAAAAGUCGUAACA